CAAGACCUGCGCUUUUGGAGCGGCCGAUGCCUGAUUAGCUUGUUGGUAAGGUAAAAGCUUACCGAGGCUUCGAUCAGUAGCUGGUCUGAGAGGACGACCAGCCACACUGGGACUGAGACACGGCCCAGACUCCUACGGGAGGCAGCAGUGGGGAAUUUUGGACAAUGGGGGCAACCCUGAUCCAGCCAUGCCGCGUGAGUGAAGAAGGCCUUCGGGUUGUAAAGCUCUUUCAGCCGGAACGAAACGGUUACGGAUAACACCCGUGACUACUGACGGUACCGGAAGAAGAAGCACCGGCUAACUACGUGCCAGCAGCCGCGGUAAUACGUAGGGUGCGAGCGUUAAUCGGAAUUACUGGGCGUAAAGCGUGCGCAGGUGGUUUUGUAAGUCAGAUGUGAAAGCCCCCGGCUCAACCUGGGAACU
This 423-nucleotide ribosomal RNA is filed under the name uncultured bacterium. RNAcentral describes it as "bacterial SSU rRNA". It matches the Rfam family "Bacterial small subunit ribosomal RNA", at positions 207 to 622 of the family's 1533-position model. The record is from RNAcentral.